This 253-nucleotide ribosomal RNA is filed under the name uncultured bacterium. Its description in RNAcentral is "partial 16S ribosomal RNA". It matches the Rfam family "Bacterial small subunit ribosomal RNA", at positions 524 to 776 of the family's 1533-position model. The record is from RNAcentral.
UACGUAGGUGGCGAGCGUUGUCCGGAAUUACUGGGCGUAAAGCGCGCGCAGGCGGUUCUUCAAGUCAGAGGUGAAAGCCCAGAGCUCAACUCUGGAAUGGCCUUUGAGACUAGAGAACUAGGGUACGGGAGAGGUGAGUGGAAUUCCGAGUGUAGAGGUGAAAUUCGUAGAUAUUCGGAAGAACACCAGUGGCGAAGGCGGCUCACUGGCCCGUUACCGACGCUCAGGCGCGACAGCGUGGGGAGCAAACAGG